Molecule: ribosomal RNA, 207 nt
Filed under: uncultured bacterium
Lineage: Bacteria
Description: partial 16S ribosomal RNA
Rfam family: Bacterial small subunit ribosomal RNA
Source: RNAcentral
UGCGUAGGCGGCCUGGUAAGUCUGGCGUGAAAGCCCAGGGCUCAGCCCUGGAAGUGCGCUAGAAACUGCAAGGCUAGAGUGCCGGAGGGGAGAGUGGAAUUCCUGGUGUAGCGGUGAAAUGCGUAGAUAUCAGGAGGAAUACCGGUGGCGAAAGCGACUCUCUGGACGGCAACUGACGCUGAGGCACGAAAGCGUGGGGAGCAAACA